RNAcentral lists this ribosomal RNA (430 nucleotides) under uncultured Desulfuromonadaceae bacterium. Its description in RNAcentral is "bacterial SSU rRNA". It matches the Rfam family "Bacterial small subunit ribosomal RNA", at positions 355 to 776 of the family's 1533-position model. Lineage: Bacteria; Pseudomonadati; Thermodesulfobacteriota; Desulfuromonadia; Desulfuromonadales; Desulfuromonadaceae. The record is from RNAcentral.
UGGGGAAUUUUGCGCAAUGGGCGAAAGCCUGACGCAGCAACGCCGCGUGAGUGAUGAAGGCCCUCGGGUCGUAAAGCUCUGUCAGAGGGGAAGAACCACCCAACGGUUAAUAUCCGUUGGGCCUGACGGUACCCUCAAAGGAAGCACCGGCUAACUCCGUGCCAGCAGCCGCGGUAAUACGGAGGGUGCAAGCGUUGUUCGGAAUUAUUGGGCGUAAAGCGCGUGUAGGCGGCCAUUUAAGUCUGAUGUGAAAGCCCUGGGCUCAACCCGGGAAGUGCAUUGGAAACUGGAUGGCUUGAAUACGGGAGAGGGAAGUGGAAUUUCGAGUGUAGGGGUGAAAUCCGUAGAUAUUCGAAGGAACACCGGUGGCGAAGGCGGCUUCCUGGACCGAUAUUGACGCUGAGACGCGAAAGCGUGGGGAGCAAACAGG